Molecule: ribosomal RNA, 479 nt
Filed under: uncultured bacterium
Lineage: Bacteria
Description: partial 16S ribosomal RNA
Rfam family: Bacterial small subunit ribosomal RNA
Source: RNAcentral
GAUGAACGCUAGCGGGAGGCCUAACACAUGCAAGCCGAGCGGUAGAGUCUCUUCGGAGACUUGAGAGCGGCGCACGGGUGCGGAACACGUGUGCAACCUGCCUUUAUCUGGGGGAUAGCCUUUCGAAGGGAAGAUUAAUACCCCAUAAUAUACUGGAUGGCAUCAUCUGGUAUUGAAAACUCCGGUGGAUAGAGAUGGGCACGCGCAAGAUUAGAUAGUUGGUGAGGUAACGGCUCACCAAGUCAGCGAUCUUUAGGGGGCCUGAGAGGGUGAUCCCCCACACUGGUACUGAGACACUGACCAGACUCCUACGGGAGGCAGCAGUGAGGAAUAUUGGACAAUGGGUGAGAGCCUGAUCCAGCCAUCCCGCGUGAAGGACGACGGCCCUAUGGGUUGUAAACUUCUUUUGUAUAGGGAUAAACCUAGAUACGUGUAUCUAGCUGAAGGUACUAUACGAAUAAGCACCGGCUAACUCCGUG